This 246-nucleotide ribosomal RNA is filed under the name uncultured bacterium. Its description in RNAcentral is "partial 16S ribosomal RNA". It matches the Rfam family "Bacterial small subunit ribosomal RNA", at positions 15 to 252 of the family's 1533-position model. The record is from RNAcentral.
GAUCAUGGCUCAGGAUGAACGCUAGCUACAGGCUUAACACAUGCAAGUCGAGGGGCGGCGGGACUGAAGCUUGCUUCAAUUGCCGGCGACCGGCGCACGGGUGAGUAACGCGUAUCCAACCUUCCGCUUACUCGGGGAUAGCCUUUCGAAAGAAAGAUUAAUACCCGAUGGUAUCUUAAGCACGCAUGAGAUUAAGAUUAAAGAUUUAUCGGUAAGCGAUGGGGAUGCGUUCCAUUAGGCAGUUGG